Columba livia (rock pigeon) is the source of this 719-nucleotide long non-coding RNA. RefSeq lists it as uncharacterized. NCBI's taxonomy places the organism in Eukaryota, Metazoa, Chordata, Aves, Columbiformes, Columbidae. The transcript has 3 exons. The record is from RefSeq and is a predicted model, not a curated record.
CGUAUUUUGAGAAAACAGUUGGCUUAUACAUUUUCAUUUACUAAACUGUUAGAUGAUCUAGCACUACCCAGCUAAAUCCUGUUCUUAGUGGACAAUCCAUGUUUGGAUAGGACUCUCCAUAGAGAACAUGUUGUUUUAAUCUUGUCUUCCAGCCUCCAGGCUCCUGCAAUAUCUCAAAAUUUGAGUAACUGCACAGCAUUAUAAAGUUUGCUUUUUUAUUUUUAGGCUUUAACACUUCAGACCCCAGAGGAAAACCAAGUUACCAACCAAGGAGUCAAAGGAAAGAUGAUGAACCCGCUUCUUAUGUUCCUCGUGGGAGAGCAGCAGGAAGAAAAACAUAUUGCGAUUCUUCAGAACCUCGCAGGUCAGCGUAUGUUUUCUACCGCACUGUGGACGUCACCCGAGAACCAAAGUUCAGUGGAUCCACAGGGGAUGGUAAUACUUGUGCAGCACUUAACAAUGCAAAGAAAGGAGGAGAGAGUUCAGGAAGGAGAGUUCCAGCGGAGCGUAUUCCCAGAAGCAACUGGCGAUCCUUCGACAAUGGAGGAAUUCACUCUUCAGAUCCCAACGGAAAACCAAGUUACCAACAAAUGCGUAAAAAUAAGGAUGAUGAAACUGCUUCUGCUGUUCCUUAUGUGAGAGCUACCAGCAGAAAGACUGAUUCUGAUUCUUUGGAACCUCGAAGAUCAACAUAUGUUUUCUGCCGCACUGUGAAUGCC